AUUGAACGCUGGCGGCAUGCCUUACACAUGCAAGUCGAACGGUAACAGGUCUUCGGAUGCUGACGAGUGGCGAACGGGUGAGUAAUACAUCGGAACGUGCCCGAGAGUGGGGGAUAACGGAGCGAAAGCUUUGCUAAUACCGCAUACGAUCUACGGAUGAAAGCAGGGGACCGCAAGGCCUUGCGCUCAUGGAGCGGCCGAUGGCAGAUUAGGUAGUUGGUGGGAUAAAAGCUUACCAAGCCGACGAUCUGUAGCUGGUCUGAGAGGACGACCAGCCACACUGGGACUGAGACACGGCCCAGACUCCUACGGGAGGCAGCAGUGGGGAAUUUUGGACAAUGGGCGCAAGCCUGAUCCAGCCAUGCCGCGUGCAGGAUGAAGGCCUUCGGGUUGUAACUGCUUUUGUACGGAACGAAAGACUCCUUCUAAUAAAGGGGUCCAUGACGGUACCGUAAGAAUAAGCACCGGCUAACUACGUGCCAGCAGCCGAC
This 491-nucleotide ribosomal RNA is filed under the name uncultured bacterium. RNAcentral describes it as "bacterial SSU rRNA". It matches the Rfam family "Bacterial small subunit ribosomal RNA", at positions 30 to 518 of the family's 1533-position model. The record is from RNAcentral.